RNAcentral lists this ribosomal RNA (253 nucleotides) under uncultured bacterium. Its description in RNAcentral is "partial 16S ribosomal RNA". It matches the Rfam family "Bacterial small subunit ribosomal RNA", at positions 524 to 776 of the family's 1533-position model. The record is from RNAcentral.
UACAGAGGUCUCGAGCGUUAGGCGGAAUCACUGGGCUUAAAGCGUGUGUAGGCGGAUCGUUAAGUGCCUUGUGAAAUCCCACGGCUCAACCGUGGAACUGCUUGGCAUACUGGCGGUCUUGAGCAACCUAGGGGCGAGCGGAACAAAUGGUGGAGCGGUGAAAUGCGUAGAUAUCAUUUGGAACGCCAAUGGUGAAAACAGCUCGCUGGGGGUUUGCAGACGCUGAGACACGAAAGCCAGGGGAGCGAACGGG